This is a long non-coding RNA of Ahaetulla prasina, 1812 nucleotides long. RefSeq lists it as uncharacterized. The transcript is spliced from 2 exons. NCBI's taxonomy places the organism in Eukaryota, Metazoa, Chordata, Lepidosauria, Squamata, Colubridae. The record is from RefSeq and is a predicted model, not a curated record.
CCCUGCCGCUCUCCCACGUGGGCGCGGUGUGGGGGAGGGGAGGGCAGCGACUGAGGGCGACCACCUCCCUUAGAGGGGAGAAGAUGAGGAGGAGGAAGAAGAGGAAGAGGAGGAGGAGGAGGAAGGCUUCGCUGAGGCGAAAGGGGCGGAGACCCCUCUUCGAGGCUUUCUACCCGGCUCUGUGAAGACGUUGGAAGGGUGUUGUAUUUGCAUAUUUGUUAGCCGCUCGAGGAUUGGUCGGAAACGGGAGGUCCGCGCCGACUAACGGGGGAGGAGGAGGAGGAGGCAGGAAGCUACAGAGUCGGCUGAGCGAGGAGGCUUAAGGAGGGAGUUGGACUUCAACUCCCAGGAUUCGCAGCGAGGCGCGCUAUAGAGUCUGGGAGUUGAAGUCCAGGGUGGGGGGGCGUGGCAGGUAGAAGAGGCAGAGCGAAGGAAGGUGGGCUGCCUGCUCCGGAUUUUUCCACUUUUUUGGUGGGUUUUUUGUUUUGUUUUUUUGCAUUUUUGGCAGCCCCUCCUGUUAUUAUGAUCUUGAAAUGAUCCUGCUUUAACUCUUCAUCUGAGUAUAUUCGACUUCCUGUUCCAACUUGCUUAGCUUUAUAAGCCAAGAUGGAAAAAUGAUGGAUGUACGAUUGGCUGGGCUUUUUGCACGGUCCAAAUCCAAAGAUUUACAAGAUACAUUUCCAGUUGUCAUGGCCGAAUAGACAACAAGUAAUGGACCAGAAGGGGCUGCCCUGGUGCCCGUUGGCUGGACACUAUAAAGGGUGACAUCGGGAUGACCAUGGCAGAUCUGAAGGAGGCUGUGGGAAACCAAGGGGCAUGGAGAGUGGUGAUCCAUAGAGUGGCUAAGGUUUGGUGGACAUGACUGAAUGGCUGACAACAAUCUCAAUGGACUAGAACAGGGGUCUCCAACCUUGGUCCCUUUAAGACUUGUGGACUUCAACUCCCUUCUCUGGGAGUUGAAGUCUACAAGUCGUAAAGGGACCAAGGUUGGAGACCCGUGGACCAGAAGGAAGCGGUGGCAUUGCUUGAGUAUUUAUAGGUAAUCCCAGGGUUGCUAUUCAGCAGGUUCUGACAGGUUCUGGAGAACCGGUAGCGGAAAUUUUGAGUAGUUUGGAGAACAGGCAAAUACCAUCUCUGGCUGGCCCCAGAGUGGGGUGGGAAUGGAGAUUUUGCAAUAUCCUUCCCCUGCCACUCCCACCAAACCACGCCCACCAAGCCACACCACGCCCACCAAGCCACACCCACAGAACCAGUUGUAAAAGAAAUUGAAUUCCACCACUGGGUAAUUCUCAACUUAUGACCACAGCUGGGACUGGAACCUCCAUUGCUAAGCAUGGUUAAGGGACUGGUACCUGGUUUUCCACCCUUUUUUGCCAUUACGUGGAUCACCACGGUCAUUAAGUGAAUUGCAGUCGUUAAGUAAAUCUGGUUUGUCCCACUGAUUUUUCUUGAGGGAAACCAGCUGGGAAGAUCACAUGUGGUGUUCACACGAUCCUGGCAUGCUGCAGCCAUUGCUAGUUUCCAAACAUGUUUGAUCACGUGGCGGUCAUAAAUGCGGGGACCGGUAGAAAGCUUUCAUCAGUGUCACAAUUUCAAAGGAUAAUUAAAUAAAUGAUCAUAAGGUCAGGACUACCUGUCUUGUGUGAGGACGGGUGUGAGGUGAGAGUUGCAUACUUUCUUGGAAAUUGGGUCCUCCAAAUUUUUUUCUCCAAAACGUAUGUUAUUGCCUAGUUUAAUUUAUUAUAAUAAAUAAAAUUUCCCACAAUGUAAUUCCGCAUAUUUUAAAAAAUAAACAAAAAGCUUUGCCUGAGA